RNAcentral lists this ribosomal RNA (467 nucleotides) under uncultured bacterium. RNAcentral's name for it is "partial 16S ribosomal RNA". It matches the Rfam family "Bacterial small subunit ribosomal RNA", at positions 28 to 506 of the family's 1533-position model. The record is from RNAcentral.
GACGAACGCUGGCGGCGUGCUUAACACAUGCAAGUCAAACGGAAAGGCCCUGCUUUUGUGGGGUGCUCGAGUGGCGAACGGGUGAGUAACACGUGAGUAACCUGCCCUUGACUUUGGGAUAACUUCAGGAAACUGGGGCUAAUACCGGAUAGGAGCUCCUGCUGCAUGGUGGGGGUUGGAAAGUUUCGGCGGUUGGGGAUGGACUCGCGGCUUAUCAGCUUGUUGGUGGGGUAGUGGCUUACCAAGGCUUUGACGGGUAGCCGGCCUGAGAGGGUGACCGGCCACAUUGGGACUGAGAUACGGCCCAGACUGCUACGGGAGGCAGCAGUGGGGAAUAUUGCACAAUGGGCGGAAGCCUGAUGCAGCAACGCCGCGUGCGGGAUGACGGCCUUCGGGUUGUAAACCGCUUUCGCCUGUGACGAAGCGUGAGUGACGGUAAUGGGUAAAGAAGCACCGGCUAACUACGU